AGCAGCCGCGGUAAUUCCAGCUCCAAUAGCGUAUAUUAAAGUUGUUGCAGUUAAAAAGCUCGUAGUUGAAUUUCGGGGUUAGUAGGCUGGUCGUGCCACUGGUAUGUACUGGUCUUACUGACUUCUCCUUUCUGAAGAACUGUAAUGCCAUUAAUUUGGUGUUGCAGGGAAUCAGGACUGUUACUUUGAAAAAAUUAGAGUGUUUAAAGCAGGCUAACGCUUGAAUACAUUAGCAUGGAAUAAUGAAAUAGGACGUUCGAUCCUAUUUUGUUGGUUUCUAGGAUUGACGUAAUGAUUAAUAGGGAUAGUUGGGGACAUUAGUAUUCAAUUGUCAGAGGUGAAAUUCUUGGAUUUAUUGAAGACUAACUACUGCGAAAGCAUUUGCCAAGGAUGUUUUCAUUAAUCAAGAACGAAAGUUAGGGGAUCGAAGACGAUCAGAUACCGUCGUAGUCUUAACCAUAAACUAUGCCGACUAGGGAUCGGAUGAUGUUAAUUUUUUAAUGUACU
Molecule: small RNA, 507 nt
Filed under: uncultured Glomus
Lineage: Eukaryota; Fungi; Glomeromycota; Glomeromycetes; Glomerales; Glomeraceae
Description: SSU rRNA
Rfam family: Eukaryotic small subunit ribosomal RNA
Source: RNAcentral